RNAcentral lists this long non-coding RNA (10767 nucleotides) under Ananas comosus (pineapple). Its description in RNAcentral is "long non-coding RNA (ACOM_LNC031137)". The record is from RNAcentral. Lineage: Eukaryota; Viridiplantae; Streptophyta; Magnoliopsida; Poales; Bromeliaceae.
AUAUAUAUAUAUAUGAGCUAGGCUGGUAUACUAUCGGUAGCAUGGAGACCUCCGUGCUACCAAGUUGUUUUCAAUGAUGCGGCUUCCAAAUCGACGAUUGGCUCUGUUAAACUUGAUCUACACUAUUAAAAGUAUUUGGAAACUAAAUUUCAUAAUUUUUCGACAUCAUUUGGCUAGUGAUCAAAAGGACUCAAAAUUGACAAUUUUAAUAGUAGAUGUGAUGCGUUUGUGAAUUUAACGGUGUAAAACAAUCCAAAUCUGAUGAAAUUUUUAUAAAAAAUUCUUUUCACUAUUUAAAGUAAGAUUAGUAUCUCUGAUCUUAAAUUCAAGUCUUUUAUCAUCAUUUUUUAUGAGAUUUUUAUUUUCAGCCGUUCAUUUUUAGACUACUUGUUUGAUAGGUAAAUGAUGUCGAAAAAUUAUAAAAUUUAAUUUCUAAAUAUUUUCAAUAGUGUAGAUCAAGUCUAACGGAGCCGAUCGUCGAUUUGAAAGCUGCAUCAUUGAAAACAAUUUGGUAGCACGGAGACCUCUGUGCUUCCGAUAGUAUACCAGCCUAGCUCUCUCUCUCUCUAUAUAUAUAUAAAGAAAGAAAAAAAAAAAACAAAAUGAUGGACAAAUUAAACCUUUCAAUAUCUUUUGCGAAGAAAAAAAGAGCGAUGUUAUCUUCUCUAGGACCAUUUUCUUGAAAUUGUGGGGGCCAUGAACUUCGACGAGGAACUUCUUCCAGCUGGAUUUUGGACUUAAAAUGUGUCACUGCUUCAAGCACUUUCAGUGACGCACAGGAUGAUGCAUGAGCUUGAAUACCAUCACAAAGCUCAGGAGGCCUUGCUAUUCUCAGAAGCUCAAAAUCCCCACUGAAAUAGAACAAGUAUGAAUUACAAAACAAGACAUCUUAAAUGGAAGCGGCUUCACAUGUAUACCCCAAUAAAAUCAUCAUUCACAUACCACAGUAAAAUCUGAAUUUACAUAUAUGGCCAUAUGGGCAUCCAAAGUAUGGUUUCUCAGUGAAAAUACACUUAUACUAAGUUGGGGAAUAAGCCAGUUCACUUGGGAAGUUUGCUCGGUAUUAGAAAAAGCUUUUUAAAGAGGGGCAUCCAUCCUUCUAUGUAUGAGGUUUACAUGUAGGAUAAAAAAAAAAAAAAAAAAAAAAAUUGAAGGGCACAAAGAAAGAUUCAGAUUUGGCAGGGAAACGAAUGUAAAAUAGAUAAUUUUGCAGGGGUAUUAGAUGUAAAAGCCUCAAAAUUAUAACAUCAGACAAUCAAUCACAGCAGAGAAGGAAACAUAACAUACUGCCAUAUGUAGUCAAGCUCUGGAAUUACUGAAGCUCUUAAUUGGUUGGUAAGUACAGAAGCUUGAUUCGACAAGACUUCCAACUUCUCUUUCAACUCAACCAAGUUCCUAGUAGAUUCAAAAUUCUGAUCUAAAUUCAAUGUUGAAACUUUCGCAUUUCGUUCCGGUGAUCUCAUAGUGACCUGAGUUCUAGGUUUCAAACUUGCCACUUCCACUAGAUCUUUCGUUUUAAUUCCUUUGCCACUCCUCUCCUUUAGGGAUAGAGUACGGUCAGCCAGAGGCUUUAGGGCGGACAUACGGAGCUUGUCAACUGCGCAAAAUUGAGUGGUGUGGCCAGCUUCAUUACACUUUUGACACCGUGAUGCACGAUUAGAACCCAAAGGUUUAUCAAUAGGCCCAGAAGUAAAAAAUUUGUCCUUAGAGACGAGCUGGCCAGUUUUUUGAUCUGAAGGUUUGGAUAAACCAUUUGAUAAUGCAACUCCAGAAGCUUUUAAUAAAUUUGAUUUGUGCAUUUCAUUGCUUCCUGAUAAAAGCACAGAGUGAUAAGUACGUUUUUUUGACAAUUGCCAGGCACAGUAUGUAAAUGAAAAGUUAACACUGUUAAGAAAAAAUAAUGGAGAAGGGUUGAUUACCUAUAGUGUUUGCAUUGUCUGACCCUCGACUGUUGCCAAUAUUACUUGACUUAGGUAUAUUGUUUCCUUUUGUAUCAUGCUGAACAAUCUCAGAAUCUGCCUUUGGGGGAGGAGCGCUCGAACCAGCCCUAGGAGAAGGAAUUGCAGAGGGUUGCUGUAAAGAAGUACUUUUCAUGCUCGUUAAUAUUCUUUCUUUUACCUCCUUCACACUUCUCACCUCAGCCCACAACGGAUUGAGGGGCUUCGUUUUAUUCAGUGACUCACUGUUUGUCGUUUUAAAUGAUGAGGACUUGGUGAUUGUUUUGUUGAGACCCUCUUUUCUUGUGCUAUUGGAAGCGGCCUCUUUGGCAUUCUUUUGCUUAGGAGGAACAUCAUCGAUUAGCUGCUUGACCUUUGCUACUUUUGAGUUGUUGAAAGAGAUCGACUUCGAUAGAGAUCCUGUGGCAAACCAAAUCAAAAUAAUUUAUUUUUCUGAUUCUAAGGAUAGCAUCAUGAUUAAUUGCAAAUUACUACCGCGAUCAGAAUAAGAAUUUCAAGGCAAGGAAAAUACCUCGUGCUAGUGGUGGUUGAAUUCUGGGUAAAUUAGAAGCUGAAGAUGUUAGUGCUCGACCAAGAUGCUGUGCGCUCUCUUGCUUUGCUUUUUCCGCAUCCAAGUUACUUAAUGAACUGUCAUUAAAUGAUCCGGUUCCCUUCCUAGGACUACUUUGCCUACUCAGUGAAGGAACCUCUAUGUUCUCUUCAUUCCUUUUAGUGGAAAUAUCAGCACUUUGAAGCACUUCGCUUGAUCCUUUUGAAUCUGGAUUGGUUUCCUUUGUUUCAUUAAGCAAAAUUUUUGGGUCAACGGUGCUCUCAAUUUCCUCAUCUUUUGCACCAAAGGAAGGUGCUUCUGAGUCUAAAUUUUGUUUUUCAGCUUCCUCCUUAAGUUGGCAUUCUUCACAUAACCAAUCGCCUUCUGGAACUUCAUCCAACAUUACCCGCAUACAGUAACUAAUUUAAAGCAAAAAAUUAAUCAUGUAUUAAAAAGAUAAUGGCAUUAUAAACUAUCAGAAGAACGAACAAGCUUAAACAGAGGAAGCUUACAUGUGCUCUGCACCAUCAGUACAUCUACUGCAAAAAGCAAGUAGCUCUUCCUGACCUGCAUCCCCGCAAAUGUCACAUACUUUAACCUGUUGAGACAUGAAAGAAAAAUUAAAGCAGAUUAAGCCAAUAUUACAGAGUAAUCAAACAUAGUAAGAAUGUGUUUAGGCCACCUAAAGCUUCUGUAAAAGUGUUAUUUGAUUAGAACUGUUGAAAGAAGCAAUGGCAGCAUUUACAUUCAAAUCACACAGCAGCCUAUUGCCACAGCAGAAGCAAAAACUUCAAAUUGGAGCUUGUGAUUUUAAAGUUCCAAAGUUCACGUUAGCUUCUACCAAGACUUUUUGAGGUCUCUCUGACACUGCUGUAAAGUGUAAGUUUGAGCAGUGCUAUAAGAAGAAUACAUAUAUUGAAAUGCCCCCAACAGCUUCCAACAAAAUCAGAAACUCUAAAUUGAAGCAGCUUCUUCUCUUGGGGUCAGAAUCUCAUUUCAGUUUAUUGCUACAACAAAAGCUCUAGACUUCUCUUGUUGCCAACACUACUAAAGGUGGUUCGAGAUGAAAAAGGACGCACAAGCUACACAGGUACUUGUCAGCAGAAGACCUGCUUUCUAAAAGCCUCUGCUUUUAGGGUUGCAGAAGUUGUUCUAAAAGCUACGCUCAAACAAGAACUAGUUGUAAGAAAAGCAGCUGGUAUGACUGAAAUAUAAUUAAAAUAAUAAUUUAACCCAUAGUGUUAAAAAUCUUUCAAGCGCAAGGACAAGAACUUACAUCAUCCUCAAUUUCUUCAGAGUUUUCACUCUCUGAGGUUGUCUUCUGUCGCACAUCCAACACCUCCAUCUUAGAAUCCUCCGCCAAAUUGGGGUUCUUUUCACAUUGCUCAUUUGAGAAGCUGCGCUUGUUAACUUCAUCUGAUGGCACAUUAUUGUCCUUGGCAUUUUCGGUCCCCAAGCAAGCAUCAGAAGUUUCCAAAGAAACCAAACUUGGAUUUUUGUUAUCUGCUUCAUUAACUUCAUUCAUCGGAGAAGCUGUGCAAUUUUGCCCGCCAACAAUGAUUGCUUCCACUUCUCCGGCCAUUGAUGAUCCCUCAUUCUUUGUGGAUCUCUCAGGGUCACACGGAACUGGCUCUUUAGAUGCUGCUUUCAUACCGGUAUUUUCUGGGGAAAAGUCCCGACUUGAAGUUGAACUUAACAGAUUACUUGUUUCGGCACAUGCGUAUCGGUUGUCAUCACAUGCUUUGCUUUUAUCAACAGCCUCACUGGCACCAUUGGAAGAGCAGCUAUCCCCUUCUUUCCUCCCAGAAGUGCUUCCGGAAGGAUCACAUUCCAUCUUCGAUUCCAUGAAAGGCAAUGAUUGGUUUGUGUGCAAACACGAUGAACAAGGAGCAGAGCACACGUUGCAUGCACUGGAUUCAGGUCUUUCGUCAACUGAAAAAUUGCCCUAUUGAAGAUGAGUACACAAAAGUCAAAAAUAACCUGUCUAAGGUUCCAAUUAACGUUCACGCACUUUAAGGUUUUGUAUUCACCCAAAACAGAAUAGUAGCUUUGUACAUAUACAUGGAUGUGCGGUAAAAGAGUUGUUAUUAUGCUGCACAUUUUAUACAUGGCAAAUGAAGUCUUAGCAUUUGUGACUCUCAACUAAAUCAACAAAACAAAUGCAAGUGAGAGGAAAGUAAAUUAAUUAGAUGACAUGGAUAAUAGAAAAAUACAGACAUUUCGCUCACGGAUACAGCAAGGUUUGAUGUCAAAUCGAUUACUGUCUCAUAAGAAUCUCUCUUACCAAAUUCACACUCUGAAGUUCAUCAUCGCACUCGUCAACAGGUCCUUGGAUGCGAUAAACCCCUUGAAGAACUGGUGUUAUCUAUAAAGCAAGUUAAAAUUCGCAUCAGUUAUAGCUAUUAAAGACUUGUAUGGAGAAAUUUAAUCUUCAAGAAACUCAAAAAAAAUUGUAAUCACUUUACAAUCUAAUAGCUCAAGCAAACCCUAGUUUGUUGCAUUACAGAAUCAUAUCCUGCAGUUAUUUCAAGAACCAGCAAAUCAACCUAAUCAGUAUUACACGACACCCACAAAAGAAUAGGAUCGUUAAUCGCAGAUGUGCUAAUCACAAAUCGGUCCAAAGUAAACCAUUUCUCACAAUGCAACAAGAAGUUCGAUCCAGAAACCCUAAACGAGCAAUAACCGCAGCACAAGACGCAUAAAGAAGCGAACUGUUAGCACGCAAAUCGCUCAAAUGAACCCUAAUUGCCCAUAUUAAUUAACCAAAUCCAGCUACAAAAACAAGAAACCACAAAAUCGACCAAAUUGCAAACUAAGACGAAUCUAAUCACUGCAGCAACGAAUCGAUCGGAGCAGGUAAUCUUAAGGGGAGGAGAGGGAAAGGAGAGAGGGCCUCUUUACAUGCCUCCGCUUCGGGGAUUCUCUCCGUGGCGCCGUACAGCUGUUCUAGUACCCUGUAGCGGCGAUACCUCAUCUCCCUCCGCGGGGAGAGGAUCGGGUCUCGAUCCGAUUCUACCCUUAUCUAGGGUUCCAGCGACCCCGGAUUAGGGUUUCGGGUCGACGCGGCGCGCGCUGGGGAAUCGGGGAACGGGGGAGAGGGGGGAAGAGGAGGAGGAGGAGGAGGAGGAGGAGGUAGGCGGGAGAGGGGGGAUUGACGGGGCUAACGUGCGCCGUGGGGAGGGGCCUAACGUGCGCGGGGACGAGGAGGGGGAGGAGGAAGAGGAAGAAGAAGAAGAGAGGAGAAGAGAGAAGAGAGAGAGGAGAAAAGGGGGGGUGUUUCGCAAAUAUUUAAGGAGUAGGAAAAUUUGCAUGAAGAUCCCUCGACUUAGAUCGCUGUGAACCAAGGACUAAUUAUUUCACCCAAAAGUUGGGAGGUGGGAAGUGAUAUGUUGCUAGGAUGCGGACAGAUACAAUGCUCGAAAUUUUAUUCGAAUCCGAAUUCGAAUAAAGCGGAUAUAUCUAAUGUUAAAUGGAUAUGGAUUCAAAUAUGAAUGUGAGAUCCCUGGUGUUUGGGCUGUGGGGCUUGUCGACAGCUCUGGAGAGUGUCGGACAAGUCUGAAUCCGGUUGGCGUCAAAUAGACGCAAAACGGACUCCGUGCGACGCGAGGGCAGCAUUCAGCGAAGGAAUCUGCGAAAAAGCAGAUUUUCCUGCUUGCCUGUACCGGUACAAGCAGUAAUGCUGUACCGGUACAACCAGCGCGGGGAAUGCUUGCUGUACCGGUACAAGGGUUUUCUGUACCGGUACAAGCUACGCGCACAGAUUUAGCUGCUCUCGGGUUGGCUCUUGUACCGGUACAGGAGCCCGUGUACCGGUACAAGGGAGUAGGUAAAGGGCUAAAACGGUAAAAUCUCACCUCGUUUGUAUCUCCCUCACCUCCCCUCUCCUUUUAAGUGUCCGAGCAGAGAGAGAGAGUGAGAGAGAGUACUUCCUGCUCUUCUCCAUCUUCUUCUUCUCCUCUCUCUCUCUAGGUGUUGGUGGAGAGUCCGGUUGGGGAUUCCGUCGCCGACGUCGCGCCGCGAGCCGUUCGAGCGCGCUUGCUGCCGGAGCUUUGCGAGGAGGCCGGGCGAGGGAGCGUCUUCACUGUUCUUGACGUCGCGCCGAGGUUCGACGCUGUCGAGGUGGGUGAUUCGGCGUCUUUCCUGGAUUUUGGGCAAGUAUUACUAUUUCUACUCGGUUAGUAGCUGUUUUGCUGAAAUCCGCCGUCGACUGUUCGUAUUUCAGCUCGUUCUCGGCGUAGGAACGUCAGAUCGCGACGAGGCUUGGUUCGUUGGAUUCGGGACUUCAAGAAGAAUCCACGAAGCCCCCACUUGCCAGAUUUGGUGAAGGUUAGCUCGGUCGAAUCCCGUUCCUACUCAGCUGCUGUGAAUUUCUGGACUGAAUCGAGGAUCCUUAAUUGUUUAGCUUGGCGUUAGCUCGUCCACCGGACUUGGAGGUCCCCAGUUGAUCCAGCAGAGGUUGUCCUGGUUCGAGGCUUCGUUCGCUGCCUGGAUUUAGCUUUUGAGGUGGGUUACAUCGGCUUUACUCCUAAGUUCUUAUUGGUCGACAUGUAUAGAUCUUGAUUUCGGUAAUUAAUUUUUAGCUCAAAUUCAUGGACUAUAUGUAGAUUGUGAAAUCUGAAUUUUGGAGCAUGUUUUUUAUAAAUUAAAUAGAUUAUACAUGUUGGACUUGGAAAUUGAAUUAGGAGAAAACCUGCGAUUUGAACCUGUCACCAGUUUUAACUACCUGAUUUAGCUCUAGGAGCCGUUAGAAAAUUGUACUGUCGCAGUUUCUUCGAGACGAGUACUCCAGGUAGUUUAGUAUAUAUAUACACUCGUGCUGGUUCGCCGAGUGGAUUUUUACCGGGUCAUUCAGGUUAUUUCGGACUGUUGGGUGCCGUCAGAGUUGAUGGUGGACUCGUAUCGCCUUUUUGGCGUCAGAUUGUGCCGAGGGCACGUUACCUGUUGGUUGUUAGAACAGCUUAGAGUCGGUUUCUUGACUUUGGCUUUUCAGAGCCUGUUUGAGCUCGACAGAGAUACGCUGCAUACUCGGUUGGGUAGCGCCCACGAGUGCCACUCCGGAGUCAAGCUUUGUGCUUUCGCGUUGGUGUCGCUCAUGCCAGUUGGACUUACUCUCCACGGACCAGUUAGAGUGGAUAGAGCCCGAUAGUCGCAACGGGGCAGGGACGGGUGUAUUCACAAUCCCGGGGACGGGUAUGCUUACAGUCCCGAUUUGGAUUGGGUCCGAUUUGACAUUUUCUAUAGUUGGUUAGUGUAGAGUAUGAUAGUGUAGUGGUUGAUAGCGGUAGAGUGUACUUCCUGCUUUUCCUUUUAUUCUUGCUCCCUUCUGUAGACUUAGUGGGUGACCGAUGUCGUUUUGGGCGGUACCCACUGAGGACUACUUGUUUUUACAGUAGUUCUCACGCCCAGUUGUUACUUAUGUUUUGCAGAGCCACAUGUGCCGGCUGCUGUAUCUUCUGCCGAUCAGGAUCGAGGCAAGGGCGUUGCGAGCUAGAGCCCUACCCGACAGUCAGAGCUAGAGGCUUUCCCCUACUGCAGGUAGUUUUGUUUUGGAGUUUAUGUACAUAGUUGUUUAACUCGCCAGUGCGAGUAGCUUUGUAUUUUGGAUUCUAGCUAUGUAUAUGAAACUCAGAUAUUUAGCUUAUUUUUGGGCAGCUCUAUACUACUGUUUGUAGUAUUGUAUUUCUACAAGUACUUUGACGCAUCGUAUACAGGGGAAAUUCCUUUGUAUACGGCGGAUUUGUCGGCGUGCCCGGGAAACGAGACAUCCGGGGCGUGACAAUGAAUAUCAAAAAUAAGAAUCUGACGGAUAUGAAUUCGAAUAUGAAUUUUGACUAAUACCCGAUUUGCAUCUGAACUCGACUCGUACUAGGGAUGUCAAUGGGUAUGGAUAUCCGAAAUAUUAUCCGAAUCCGAACCCGAACAAGACGGGUUUAUCCGAGGUAAAAAUGAAAUCUUAGGGCAGCAAAUUGUUACACUUUAAACCAUAUGGUACUAAAGUGAAAAAAUGCGAAACUAUAGGGGGUUUUUUGAAGUUUCUACGGGGUUUUUUAAAGUUUUUCCUAAUUUAUAUUAUCUUUUAGCAUAUAAAAUCUAGAAUAAUUUAUUUAUUGUUAAUGGCUAAUAGAAUUACAUAUUUUUACAAAAUUUUCAUUAGUUAGGAUAAUUUGAUUCUAAAAAUUAAAAAUUACGGAGGACUCAAUCUUUUUAAAAUAAGAGUUAAAAUCGGCGACGCUAUUUAAAAUGGCCUAUAGUUGGGGUGGCGGUCAUAUAUUUUUAUCUAUUUAAUAGGCAAAAAAAAAAAAAUGUAUUAUACACCAUUUUGAAAAAUUCCCUCAACUUUAAUUUUUUUUAUUAAUUAAAUUUUGAAUUUUUAGUUGAAUUAUUUUAGCUAGUAAGAUAUAAUUUUUACUGAACAGUGAAUGUUAAAAUUUUAUUUACUUAAUAACAAUAAAAUCUCUGCUUUGAUUCACUCAAAUCAUAUUAAUAAUAAUAAUAAAAAACAAAAGUUGAGAUGUCUAUUUCACAAUAUUCUAUAGUUGGGGGGGCUCCUUACAUAUUUUUAUAAAACAUUAAAUAACAGCGAAAAUUUUGCGUACUCACGUGCAAAGCAUGCCUGAUGAUGUGAUAUUCUCACCCCGCAUUUUACCGCGAACGCACGCAAAAGGUGGUGUACGUGAAUUAGAGUUUAGGGUCGUAUUCAAAAUUUUAUUUGAAUCUGAAGUACAUAAUGAAUUUAUCUAAUACUAAAUCGAUCUAAUUUCGGAUAUAGAUAUCAAAAAUAAAAAUUCGAUAGAUUUGGAUUCGAAUAUGAAUUUUGAUUGUUCCCGACCCGAAUCCGACCGGAAUACGACUCGAACCCAAAUAUAUUUGACAUUAUAUAUAUAUAUAUAUAUAUAUAUAUAUAUAUAUAUAUAUAUAUAUAUAGAGAGAGAGAGAGAGAGAGAGAGAGAGAGAGAGAGAGAGAGAGAGUAUAUAUAAUAAUAUAUAUAUAGUUAGGCUGAUAUAUAUCGAUAGCACGGAGACCUCCUGUUACCAGUUAUUUCAAUAAUGCGACUUCCAAAUCGAGGAUAGGCUCCGUUAGACUUGAUUUACAUUAUUAAAACUAUUUGGGAACUAAAUUUUAUAAUUUUUCGACAUCAUUUGGCUAGUGAUCAAACUGUCUCAAAAUUGAUAAUUUUAAUGAUAAAUGUGAUACGUUUUGAAUUAACGUGUAAAGAAACAACCAAAUCUAAUAAAUUUUAUAAAUUUUUUUUUUUAUUUAGAGAAGAUAGCAAUCAUUUUCAGCCGUUCAUUUUAGACUACUCGUUUGAUAGGUAAAUGAUACCGAAAAUUUAUAAAAUUUAGUUUCCAAAUACUUUCAAUAGUGUAGAUCAAGUCUAACGGAGCGGAUCGUCGAUUUGGAAGCUGCAUCAUUGAAAACAACUUUGUAGCACGGAGAUCUCCGUGCUGCCGAUAGUAUACUAGCCUAGCGCUCUCUCUCUCUCUCUCUCUCUCUAUAUAUAUAUAUAUAUAGAUAUAUAUAUAUAUAUAUGUAAUAUUAUAUUUGAAUCUAUAUUUUAAAAUUUUAGAUGUAAUUUAAUAUAUUUUGAAAUAUCGAAAAGAGAAAUUAUUGUUUCGGGGUUGGUCUCAAGUUCGGGUUUUGAAUGUUUGGUUGGGUCGAGUUUGGAUAAGUAUUUUUAAAAUCCGACGUAUUCGGGUUCGGAUUUGAAUUUCGGGUUUGGAGUCGGGUUCGGGUUCGAGUUUUUAAAAAUAAGCAAACAUUUUUAUGGAUUUCAUUAAUAUAUUUUAUGCAAUUUGCAUAAUUAUACAUUGAAUUGAGCUCCUAUGCUUUUAAAAGUACCAAGUCAUUGGUGCUUGUAAGUUUUCGACCCUCGGAUUAAGAGAUGUGCGGUUAGCCCUUGGAUUAAGAAAUGUGUGGUUAGGAUGAUGUGGGCUCUCUAGAGUUGAGUGGGUGAUUGAUUGAAUAGUAUAAUCUAACGGGUGAAAAUGAUCAAAGGCGUAGAUCUAACGGUAAAAAAUUUACAAGCACCAAGUGCUUGGUGCUUUUACAAGCACCAUAGCCGGACCCAUUAUACAUUUACUAAAAUAAGCAAUUAGCUUAUUUUGUAUCCAAACAAUCAUUAAAUUACUUAUGUCAAACAAAUUGAAAGAUUAGGCACUAAAAUUAAAUUUUUAAAAGAUCAUACAGCUAAAUCAAAACGAUUUAUAGUUCAAAUAAGUUUUAUACAUUUUUUUUUUAACGACGGAAUCUAGAUCUUAGAGGUCGAAUUGGCGAUGUUG